AACGAACGCUGGCGGCAGGCCUAACACAUGCAAGUCGAGCGCACCUUCGGGUGAGCGGCGGACGGGUUAGUAACGCGUGGGAAUAUGCCCUUCACUACGGAAUAGCCAUUGGAAACGAUGAGUAAUACCGUAUACGCCCUUCGGGGGAAAGAUUUAUCGGUGAAGGAUUAGCCCGCGUCUGAUUAGAUAGUUGGUGGGGUAAUGGCCUACCAAGUCUACGAUCAGUAGCUGGUUUGAGAGGAUGAUCAGCAACACUGGGACUGAGACACGGCCCAGACUCCUACGGGAGGCAGCAGUGGGGAAUCUUAGACAAUGGGCGCAAGCCUGAUCUAGCCAUGCCGCGUGAGUGACGAAGGCCUUAGGGUCGUAAAGCUCUUUCGCCAGGGAUGAUAAUGACAGUA
RNAcentral lists this ribosomal RNA (401 nucleotides) under Loktanella sp. S35. RNAcentral describes it as "bacterial SSU rRNA". It matches the Rfam family "Bacterial small subunit ribosomal RNA", at positions 29 to 459 of the family's 1533-position model. Lineage: Bacteria; Pseudomonadati; Pseudomonadota; Alphaproteobacteria; Rhodobacterales; Roseobacteraceae. The record is from RNAcentral.